Molecule: ribosomal RNA, 683 nt
Filed under: uncultured archaeon
Lineage: Archaea
Description: bacterial SSU rRNA
Rfam family: Archaeal small subunit ribosomal RNA
Source: RNAcentral
AUUCGAUUCCCUACGGGGUGCAGCAGUCGCGAAAACUUCACACUGGGGGCAACCCCGAUGAGGGAAUUCCUAGUGCAUGCAUUUAAUGUAUGCUUUUCUUUAGUUUAGAACGCUAGAGGAAUAAGGGCUGGGUAAGACGGGUGCCAGCCGCCGCGGUAAUACCCGCAGCCCGAGUGGUGGUCGAUAUUAUUGAGUCUAAAACGUUCGUAGCCGGUUCUGUAAAUCCUUGGGUAAAUCGGUAAGCUUAACUUACCGACUUCCGAGGAGACUGCAGAACUUGGGACCGGGAGAGGCAAGAGGUACUUCUGGGGUAGGGGUAAAAUCCUGUAAUCCUAGAAGGACCACCGGUGGCGAGGGCGUCUUGCUAGAACGGAUCCGACGGUGAGGGACGAAGCCCUGGGGCGCAAACGGGAUUAGAUACCUCGGUAGUCCAGGGUGUAAACGCUGCAGGCUUGGUGUUGGAGACCCUUCGGGGGUGUUCAGUGCCGGAGAGAAGUUGUUAAGCCUGCUACUUGGGGAGUACGUCCGCAAGGAUGAAACUUAAAGGAAUUGGCGGGGGAGCACCGCAACGGGAGGAGCGUGCGGUUUAAUUGGAUUCAACACCGGAAAACUCACCAGGAGCGACGGUUACAUGAAAGUCAGGCUGAUGACCUUACUAGAUUUUCCGAGAGGAGGUGCAUGGC